RNAcentral lists this ribosomal RNA (501 nucleotides) under Acrobeloides sp. Sourhope farm. RNAcentral's name for it is "SSU rRNA". It matches the Rfam family "Eukaryotic small subunit ribosomal RNA", at positions 48 to 547 of the family's 1831-position model. Lineage: Eukaryota; Metazoa; Nematoda; Chromadorea; Rhabditida; Cephalobidae. The record is from RNAcentral.
GCCAUGCAUGUCUAAGUAUAAACGAUUUAAUCGUGAAACCGCGAAUGGCUCAUUAUAACAGCUAUAAUUUACUUGAUCUUGACACAAUCCUACUUGGAUAACUGUGGUAAUUCUAGAGCUAAUACAUGCAUUAAAGCUCUGACCUCACGGGAAGAGUGCAUUUAUUAGAACAAAACCAAGCGGCUUCGGCUGUUUCUGGUUGACUCAUAGUAACUGAGCUGAUCGCAUGGUCUUGCACCGGCGACGUGUCUUUCAAGUAUCUGCCGUAUCAACUUUCGAUGGUAGUGUAUCUGACUACCAUGGUGAUCACGCGUAACGGAGAAUAAGGGUUCGGCUCCGGAGAGUUCGCCUGAGAAAUCGCGAACACAUCUAAGGAAGGCAGCAGGCGCGAAAAUUACCCACUCUCAGCACGAGGAGGUAGUGACGAAAAAUAACGAGACCGUUCUCUUAUGAGGCCGGUCAUCGGAAUGGGUACAAUUUAAACCCUUUAACGAGUAUGUA